RNAcentral lists this ribosomal RNA (465 nucleotides) under uncultured Klebsiella sp. RNAcentral's name for it is "bacterial SSU rRNA". It matches the Rfam family "Bacterial small subunit ribosomal RNA", at positions 338 to 795 of the family's 1533-position model. Lineage: Bacteria; Pseudomonadati; Pseudomonadota; Gammaproteobacteria; Enterobacterales; Enterobacteriaceae. The record is from RNAcentral.
CCUACGGGAGGCAGCAGUGGGGAAUAUUGCAUAAUGGGCGCAAGCCUGAUGCAGCCAUGCCGCGUGUGUGAAGAAGGCCUUCGGGUUGUAAAGCACUUUCAGCGGGGAGGAAGGCGUUAAGGUUAAUAACCUUGGCGAUUGACGUUACCCGCAGAAGAAGCACCGGCUAACUCCGUGCCAGCAGCCGCGGUAAUACGGAGGGUGCAAGUGUUAAUCGGAAUUACUGGGCGUAAAGCGCACGCAGGCGGUCUGUCAAGUCGGAUGUGAAAUCCCCGGGCUCAACCUGGGAACUGCAUUCGAAACUGGCAGGCUAGAGUCUUGUAGAGGGGGGUAGAAUCCCAGGUGUAGCGGUGAAAUGCGUAGAGAUCUGGAGGAAUACCGGUGGCGAAGGCGGCCCCCUGGACAAAGACUGACGCUCAGGUGCGAAAGCGUGGGGAGCAAACAGGAUUAGAUACCCUAGUAGUC